GAUGAAGAACGCAGCGAAAUGCGAUAAGUAAUGUGAAUUGCAGAAUUCAGUGAAUCAUCGAAUCUUUGAACGCAUCUUGCGCUCCUUGGUAUUCCUUGGAGCAUGCCUGUUUGAGUAUCAUGAGCAAAUCUCAAAGUCAAUUCCUUUUGUUAAUUCAAUUGGUUUUGCUUUGGACUUGGAGGUCUUGCAGAUUUCACAGUCUGCUCCUCUUAAAUGCAUUAGCUGGAUCUCAGUAAUUAUGCUUGGUUCCACUCGGCGUGAUAAGUAUCACUCGCUGAGGACAUUGUUAAAAAGGUGGCCAGGAAAAUACUGAUUGAACCGCUUCUAACGGUCUAUUAAGUUAGACAAUUACCCUUAAGUUUGAUCUCAAAUCAGGUAGGACUACCCGCUGAACUUAAGCAUAUCAAUAAGCGGAGGA
This 418-nucleotide unclassified non-coding RNA is filed under the name soil metagenome. RNAcentral's name for it is "partial contains 5.8S ribosomal RNA, internal transcribed spacer 2, and large subunit ribosomal RNA". The stretch from base 1 to 120 matches the Rfam family "5.8S ribosomal RNA", at positions 35 to 154 of the family's 154-position model. The record is from RNAcentral.